This 253-nucleotide ribosomal RNA is filed under the name uncultured bacterium. RNAcentral's name for it is "partial 16S ribosomal RNA". It matches the Rfam family "Bacterial small subunit ribosomal RNA", at positions 524 to 776 of the family's 1533-position model. The record is from RNAcentral.
UACGGAGGGAGCUAGCGUUGUUCGGAAUUACUGGGCGUAAAGCGCACGUAGGCGGCGCAGCAAGUCAGGGGUGAAAUCCCGGGGCUCAACCCCGGAACUGCCCUUGAAACUGCAGUGCUAGAAUCUUGGAGAGGCGAGUGGAAUUCCGAGUGUAGAGGUGAAAUUCGUAGAUAUCAGGAGGAACACCAGUGGCGAAGGCGGCUUCCUGGACAACAACUGACGCUGAGACGCGAAAGCGUGGGGAGCAAACAGG